CAUUUGAAAUAUAUAACAUUCACUGAAUCAUUAUUUGGACUUUUUGACAUCGACUCAUACUGUCAUCACUUAUGAAAUAAUGCUAUUUUAGUUAAUUAGUAGUAUACAGUAAAUGGUUUUGUAGUUUGUACAAUUAAGAACUAUUAGAAUUUUACAGGUCUAUAUAUUAUGAGAGUUGGUGUCUUCAUGUACAGUAAUCAUGAUGCUUUUAACACUCAACUUAUGUUUUUAUUUUUGUUAUAAUCUAAUAAAAAAUUAUAAAAGCACACAUUAGUUUUUAAGGAUUUUGCUUUUCAAUAAACUUUGUUUAAGAACUCUCAUAAAAACCUAUAUUAUUAUCAAACUAUACAAAAACUAGAAGAAAAACAAAAUCACCAGAAUUUCAUAUUUUUUAUGCAAGUUUAUAAAUAGUUAAGGUUUCUUCAAGUUUUAAUGUUGUGAAGAAAAUGGCAAAGGCUCUAGUAUAGCUACUCGUACUCUCUCAUUCUAAACUUCUUUAUGCUAUGAUCAGUACACUACAAACUAUUAUUUCUUUGACAAAGAUCUUAUACCAAAUUCAUUUGAUAUUUUUAAAGGAAGAAUAUUUCCUUAAUUUUAAGUUUUUACUUUUUAGCUUCAUAUUAAACAUUUUUAUUUGAGUAUUUUCAAUAAUAGAUGGUUUUGUAGUGUAGGCAUUUAAGAAUUUUGAGACUCUUAAACGUCCUCAUGAGUUGGUGUCUUGCAUAGCUUUUUGCACAUGAUGCUUUCAACACUACUCAUCUUAUUUUGGUAUCUAUUUUAAUUAUCUAAGAAACAAAAUAGCACACAUUUUGUUUUUACGUUGGUGAGUAAUUGUUUUCAA
This 841-nucleotide small RNA is filed under the name Arabidopsis thaliana (thale cress). Its description in RNAcentral is "ATSL097190". Lineage: Eukaryota; Viridiplantae; Streptophyta; Magnoliopsida; Brassicales; Brassicaceae. The record is from RNAcentral.